GAUGAAGAACGUAGCGAAAUGCGAUAAGUAAUGUGAAUUGCAGAAUUCAGUGAAUCAUCGAAUCUUUGAACGCACAUUGCGCCCGCUAGUAUUCUGGCGGGCAUGCCUGUCCGAGCGUCAUUUCAACCCUCAAGCCCCCGGGCUUGGUGUUGGGGAUCGGCGAGCCUCCGCGCCCGCCGUCCCCUAAAUCUAGUGGCGGUCUCGCUGUAGCUUCCUCUGCGUAGUAGCACACCUCGCACUGGGAAACAGCGCGGCCACGCCGUUAAACCUCCAACUUCUGAACGUUUGACCUCGGAUCAGGUAGGAAUACCCGCUGAACUUAAGCAUAUCAAUAAGCGGAGGA
RNAcentral lists this unclassified non-coding RNA (343 nucleotides) under soil metagenome. Its description in RNAcentral is "partial contains 5.8S ribosomal RNA, internal transcribed spacer 2, and large subunit ribosomal RNA". The stretch from base 1 to 120 matches the Rfam family "5.8S ribosomal RNA", at positions 35 to 154 of the family's 154-position model. The record is from RNAcentral.